Molecule: long non-coding RNA, 782 nt
Organism: Sphaerodactylus townsendi
Lineage: Eukaryota; Metazoa; Chordata; Lepidosauria; Squamata; Sphaerodactylidae
Exons: 2
Source: RefSeq, a predicted model, not a curated record
GGGCGGAGCUAAGUUGCUGCUGGACUGAAUUGAGGGCGCUGCUGGGAGGUGAAUCGUGGGAAUCGUCCCCCUUCCCUGGCGGGGGCCGCCCCUCCCACACGCUCCCCCAGGCCCCGCCCCCAAAGCGGCAGGAAUUUCUCACGCGGGGAACCAAGCCUGACGCGGUAACUGGCAGUAGGAGGGCUGCCAACCUCCAGGUGGCGACUGGAGACCCCUGCUUUUAUGACUGAUCUCCAGGCACACAGGCCAUUUCGCAUCCCCAGUAUUUCCAGGCAUCUCCCGACCCAGAGCUGGCAACCCUCGUGACUAGGCAGCAACAGGGAACCUCUCCCCCUGGUCAGGUUGUGCUCUGAAUCAAGUCUUCUCGCAUCUCGCACGUGUGUAUUUGGAGUUCUUUUUCCAAAUGAGCAACGCCAGCCCACCAGCAGAGAACCAGCAGCAGCCGCCGGAGGAAGAGGAGGAGGAAGUAGUUACAGAAGCCAUUCAGGACCCACAGCUGCCAGACGAAGGAAAUGUUCCCCCCACCGUAGCACCAGUGGCCUCUGAAGGGGAGCCGGGAUUGGGCCCCCACGCGCACUGCCAGGCCUGGCUCCUGGACAGGCUGGAUGACGUGUGCUAUCUUAUCUCCUGCACCAACUGGUAUUAGGCUAGUUCCUGUGGGCCCACCAGCUGCCUUCGUUGACGUGCUCACCGCACCAGACAAAUCUCUGCCCAGCUUCGUCUGCAGUGAGGACCAAAGUUCUGUCUCUUAAUAAAGGCCCGGGAAGAAAGUAGCUCCAAAA